UACAGAGGGUGCAAGCGUUAUUCGGAUUUACUGGGCGUAAAGAGCACGUAGGUGGUUCUUCAAGUCUGAUGUGAAAUCCCUGGACUCAAUCCAGGAAGUGCAUCGGAUACUGUCGAACUUGAGUACAGGAGAGGACAGCGGAAUUCCCGGUGUAGAGGUGAAAUUCGUAGAUAUCGGGAGGAACAACAGUGGCGAAGGCGGCUGUCUGGACUGUAACUGACACUGAGGUGCGAAAGCGUGGGGGGCAAACAGG
This 253-nucleotide ribosomal RNA is filed under the name uncultured bacterium. RNAcentral's name for it is "partial 16S ribosomal RNA". It matches the Rfam family "Bacterial small subunit ribosomal RNA", at positions 524 to 776 of the family's 1533-position model. The record is from RNAcentral.